AAAUUUCAAAAAAAAAAAAAAAAAAUCUGUUUUUAUCAGUUUAAUAUCUGAUACGUCCCCUACCCGGGGACCAUAUAUUAAAUUGAUUUUUGGAACUGGGAGAUGGAAUAGGGGCUUGCUCCGUCCACUGCACGCAUCGACCUGGUAUUGCAGUACCUUCCAGGAAUGGUGCACCCCCC
RNAcentral lists this small nuclear RNA (179 nucleotides) under Labrus bergylta (ballan wrasse). RNAcentral describes it as "U2 spliceosomal RNA (ENSLBEG00000018780.1)". It matches the Rfam family "U2 spliceosomal RNA". From Rfam's summary of the family: U2 is a small nuclear RNA (snRNA) component of the spliceosome (involved in pre-mRNA splicing). The record is from Rfam by way of RNAcentral. Lineage: Eukaryota; Metazoa; Chordata; Actinopteri; Labriformes; Labridae.